Molecule: transfer RNA, 64 nt
Filed under: Onchidella borealis
Lineage: Eukaryota; Metazoa; Mollusca; Gastropoda; Systellommatophora; Onchidiidae
Description: tRNA-His
Source: RNAcentral
CCUUUAAUAGGUUAAAGAAACCGGUUGCCUGUGAAGCAACAAAUCAAUUAUUUUUGUUAGAGGC